UAGAGCGGCGGACGGGUGAGUAACACGUGGACAAUCUGCCCCCCGGCCCGGGAUAGCCCAGGGAAACCUGGAUUAAUACCGGAUGAGACGGGACCCGCGAAGGCGGGACCCGGAAAGGCGCUGCGGCGCCGCCGGGGGAUGAGUCUGCGUCCCAUUAGCUAGACGCGGGGUAACGGCCCACCGUGGCGACGAUGGGUAGCCGGCCUGAGAGGGUGGACGGCCACAUUGGAACUGAGACACGGUCCAGACUCCUACGGGAGGCAGCAGCUAAGAAUCUUCCGCAAUGGGCGAAAGCCUGACGGAGCGACGCCCGCGUGAACGAAGAAGGCCGUGAGGUUGUAAAGUUCUUUUCGGGAGGGGGAACAACCGUGGCAGGGAAUGGCCGCGGGAUGACGUGAAUCCCGGAAUAAGCCCCGGCUAACUACGUGCCAGCCGCAGC
This 439-nucleotide ribosomal RNA is filed under the name uncultured bacterium. RNAcentral's name for it is "bacterial SSU rRNA". It matches the Rfam family "Bacterial small subunit ribosomal RNA", at positions 91 to 518 of the family's 1533-position model. The record is from RNAcentral.